This 472-nucleotide ribosomal RNA is filed under the name Escherichia coli. Its description in RNAcentral is "partial 23S ribosomal RNA". It matches the Rfam family "Bacterial large subunit ribosomal RNA", at positions 1446 to 1900 of the family's 2925-position model. Lineage: Bacteria; Pseudomonadati; Pseudomonadota; Gammaproteobacteria; Enterobacterales; Enterobacteriaceae. The record is from RNAcentral.
AGGUGUUACUGCGAAGGGGGGACGGAGAAGGCUAUGUUGGCCGGGCGACGGUUGUCCCGGUUUAAGCGUGUAGGUGUGUGUUCCAGGUAAAUCCGGUUCACUCUAACACUGAGGCGUGAUGACGAGGCACUACGGUGCUGAAGUGACAAAUGCCCUGCUUCCAGGAAAAGCCUCUAAGCAUCAGGUAACAUCAGAUCGUACCCCAAACCGACACAGGUGGUCAGGUAGAGAAUACCAAGGCGCUUGAGAGAACUCGGGUGAAGGAACUAGGCAAAAUGGUGCCGUAACUUCGGGAGAAGGCACGCUGAUAUGUAGGUGAAGCGAUUUACUCGUGGAGCUGAAAUCAGUCGAAGAUACCAGCUGGCUGCAACUGUUUAUUAAAAACACAGCACUGUGCAAACACGAAAGUGGACGUAUACGGUGUGACGCCUGCCCGGUGCCGGAAGGUUAAUUGAUGGGGUUAUCCGUAAGG